UCCCUCCCUCCCUCCCUUUCUCUGCGUGUUAAUUCAGAUUCCCGAACGCCCGUGUGCGCAGUUACCCUCCAGCCCUGUCCAAACGACUUUUUUUCACGGGCUUGGGCAUUGCGCCGUUAAGAAAGCAUCUUGCGUGAGAUUGUUGCGCUCUGGUAAAUCUCACAGCCGGGGAGACGGCAACGCUGAGGAUCGGCAUUUGUAUGCGAUUCGCCGUCUAGGCCCGGGCCUGCUGCUUUGUGUGUGUUUGGCACUUUCUGGCUCAAUAAAAAGGCUGGAUGAGACUUGAGGAGGAGGGAAGGACACAUCCGACAUCCCAAAUCUCCACGGCGCUGUCGCCGGUGACUGAAACAGGCGGUACCUUUCAAAGCGUCGACUCGCUGUUCUGAAUUUCAAAAACCUGGCGACGGCGUCCAGAUUUCCUGCUUCUGAACGCGUUUCGGAAGUUUCCACAACCGCUUAGCAGCAGAUUGUCUGGAGAAUACGCCAAUACGAAAGGGUAAUAUCACUCAGGCUUCUCUUUCUUACCGCAGGUUAUAAUUUGUAAAAUGGUGGUGGGAGAAACAGCUGUGUUUUUCAAGAGCUGCUGUGCCUUUCAUGUGGCGAACACAGAACAGGUGGAUGGCAUUCCACGUCCAGGUGGACAAUGAAG
Long non-coding RNA from Anguilla anguilla (European eel), 649 nucleotides. RefSeq lists it as uncharacterized. The record is from RefSeq and is a predicted model, not a curated record. NCBI's taxonomy places the organism in Eukaryota, Metazoa, Chordata, Actinopteri, Anguilliformes, Anguillidae. The transcript has 6 exons.